AACAAUAAGGGGGCAGCAUAGAAGUAGCAUACUUGGGUGGCGACCGGCGCACGGAUGCGUGACGCGUAUCCAACCUUCCCGUUUUCUUGCAUGGCCUUCCGAAAGGGAGAUUAGAACAUGAUGGUGGUUGUUUCCGCAUGUUAUUUGAACUAAAGAUUUAUCGGUAACGGAUGGGGAUGCGUGACAUUAGAUAGAUGGCGGGGUAACGGCCCACCUAGACUACGAUGUCUAGGGGUUCUGAGAGGAAGGUCCCCCACACUGGAACUGAGACACGGUCCAGACUCCUACGGGAGGCAGCAGUGAGGAAUAUUGGUCAAUGGUCGGAAGACUGAACCAGCCAAGUAGCGUGAAGGAUGAAGGUUCUAUGGAUUGUAAACUUCUUUUAUACGGGAAUAAAACCCCCCACGUGUGGGAGCUUGUAUGUACCGUAUGAAUAAGCAUCGGCUAACUCCGUGCCAGCAGCCGCGGUAAUACGGAGGAUGCGAGCGUUAUCCGGAUUUAUUGGGUUUAAAGGGAGCGUAGACGGGAUGUUAAGUCAGUUGUGAAAGGCUGCGGCUCAACCGCAGCACUGCAGUUGAUACUGGUUUCCUUGAUUGCGGUUGAGGUAUGUGGAAUUCUUGGUGUAGCGGUGAAAUGCUUAGAUAUCACGAAGAACUCCGAUUGAGGG
RNAcentral lists this ribosomal RNA (667 nucleotides) under uncultured Bacteroides sp. Its description in RNAcentral is "bacterial SSU rRNA". It matches the Rfam family "Bacterial small subunit ribosomal RNA", at positions 59 to 719 of the family's 1533-position model. Lineage: Bacteria; Pseudomonadati; Bacteroidota; Bacteroidia; Bacteroidales; Bacteroidaceae. The record is from RNAcentral.